Molecule: ribosomal RNA, 468 nt
Filed under: uncultured bacterium
Lineage: Bacteria
Description: partial 16S ribosomal RNA
Rfam family: Bacterial small subunit ribosomal RNA
Source: RNAcentral
GACGAACGCUGGCGGCAUGCUUAACACAUGCAAGUCGAACGGAAAGGCCCUGCUUUUGUGGGGUGCUCGAGUGGCGAACGGGUGAGUAACACGUGAGUAACCUGCCCUUGACUUUGGGAUAACUUCAGGAAACUGGGGCUAAUACCGGAUAGGAGCUCCUGCUGCAUGGUGGGGGUUGGAAAGUUUCGGCGGUUGGGGAUGGACUCGCGGCUUAUCAGCUUGUUGGUGGGGUAGUGGCUUACCAAGGCUUUGACGGGUAGCCGGCCUGAGAGGGUGACCGGCCACAUUGGGACUGAGAGACGGCCCAGACUCCUACGGGAGGCAGCAGUGGGGAAUAUUGCACAAUGGGCGGAAGCCUGAUGCAGCAACGCCGCGUGCGGGAUGACGGCCUUCGGGGUGUAAACCGCUUUCGCCUGUGACGAAGCGUGAGUGACGGUAAUGGGUAAAGAAGCACCGGCUAACUACGUG